Molecule: transfer RNA, 72 nt
Filed under: Bos taurus (domestic cattle)
Lineage: Eukaryota; Metazoa; Chordata; Mammalia; Artiodactyla; Bovidae
Also listed under: 2 other names
Rfam family: tRNA
About the family: Transfer RNA (tRNA) molecules are approximately 80 nucleotides in length.
Source: Rfam by way of RNAcentral
UCCCUGGUGGCUCAGAUGGUAAAGCGUCUGCCUACAAUGCAGGAGACUUGGGUUCGAUCCCUGGGUAGGGAA